AAAUUGAAGAGUUUGAUCAUGGCUCAGAUUGAACGCUGGCGGCAGGCCUAACACAUGCAAGUCGAACGGUAACAGGAAUCAGCUUGCUGAUUCGCUGACGAGUGGCGGACGGGUGAGUAAUGUCUGGGAAACUGCCUGAUGGAGGGGGAUAACUACUGGAAACGGUAGCUAAUACCGCAUAAUGUCGCAAGACCAAAAAGGGGGACCUUCGGGCCUCUUGCCAUCAGAUGUGCCCAGAUGGGAU
RNAcentral lists this ribosomal RNA (244 nucleotides) under Shigella boydii. Its description in RNAcentral is "partial 16S ribosomal RNA". It matches the Rfam family "Bacterial small subunit ribosomal RNA", at positions 1 to 241 of the family's 1533-position model. Lineage: Bacteria; Pseudomonadati; Pseudomonadota; Gammaproteobacteria; Enterobacterales; Enterobacteriaceae. The record is from RNAcentral.